RNAcentral lists this ribosomal RNA (253 nucleotides) under uncultured bacterium. Its description in RNAcentral is "partial 16S ribosomal RNA". It matches the Rfam family "Bacterial small subunit ribosomal RNA", at positions 524 to 776 of the family's 1533-position model. The record is from RNAcentral.
UACGUAGGGUGCGAGCGUUAAUCGGAAUUACUGGGCGUAAAGCGUGCGCAGGCGGUUUGUUAAGACAGGUGUGAAAUCCCCGGGCUUAACCUGGGAAUGGCGCUUGUAACUGGCAAGCUAGAGUGUGUCAGAGGGAGGUAGAAUUCCACGUGUAGCAGUGAAAUGCGUAGAUAUGUGGAGGAACACCGAUGGCGAAGGCAGCCCCCUGGGAUAACACUGACGCUCAUGCACGAAAGCGUGGGGAGCAAACAGG